This is a long non-coding RNA of Phyllopteryx taeniolatus (common seadragon), 3004 nucleotides long. RefSeq lists it as uncharacterized. The transcript is spliced from 3 exons. NCBI's taxonomy places the organism in Eukaryota, Metazoa, Chordata, Actinopteri, Syngnathiformes, Syngnathidae. The record is from RefSeq and is a predicted model, not a curated record.
CUAAAAGAAUAUUAUAAUAAGGUAACUAAUAGAACCGCCAUUGACAUUGUGUGGAUAGGGAAGAGGGCUAGUCAGCUGUCCAGGGAUUCUUAUAUUCCAAUUUAUCUUAUUAUUAAUUGGCAUCACGGCUCCGUAGGACUUGAUCACUCCUUAAGGCUCACUCAAAAGGAGCGACGGGAGAGAUUGUUUCGAGACCCUUUCCGGGACUGGUCUUCGUUCUCCUCAACUGGGAUCUGAAGGUUGACGACAAUCCACAGGAUUGAAGACGACUUUGCAGGAAACCAAGUUGGUUGGACCAGGAGACCGGGUCCUAAUUCGAAGCAUCAAAAAGAGGCACUGGCAUUCACCAAAGUGGGAAGGACCGUAUCAACCGUUAUUGACAACUCCAACAGCCCUAAAAAUAGCAGAAAGAAAUACGUGGGUUCAUUUAACACACUGUAAAAGAGUCAUUUCAACUGAGUACUCAAACAGGGAAGAUCAGCAGAAGUCUGAUAACGGAGCGGGAGCAGAUGUGUAGAUUCUGAAAACGCUUGCUGGUCAGUGAAGAAAAAAGACACCAACCCGUUUAGUAAGAACUCAGCAGAAUGGCACACCCACGUUGGUUAUGAGAUUUGAUAAGUUGUUACGUAGCAACUUUGGCUACUAUGGUGUUGGUUUUGUUUAUGUGGUACAUGGGACGUCCCUCCCUAAAUGAUACAACCAAUUUUUUAGAUAGAAAAUCACCUACCAGCUGGACCAAUAUGAUGAACCCAAUAAUGGAAAAUUUUGAAUCAUUAACUCGUAUCAAAAGGAGUACAGCUGAUGAUCAGAACUGUGGGCAUGGCAUCCAAAUGCGCCAAACCGGUUUAAUAUUUUGUGCCCCCCAAAAUCAAACUGCUUUAAUCAUAAUUCCAUAUGCGGCUCUCACCAAUGAUGCUCAAGAGAAUGGGCAGAAUUGGGGAUUUGGAUAUGACUGGUAUGCAACUAUAGGCUUUGGAUGGGAACACCUCAUUGGUGAAACAGGUUAUGAUUGGUCCAGUUGGUCACAAAAAACAGCAAAAGAACAUAGAAAGAAGUUUAACAUAAGCAAAACGGCCCAUAGUUUAAUAUUGAAAUACAAAUCAAGUCACCCAGUGUGUUUGAUGAUGAGCUUGUGGGCAUAUUCUGGCGGAAAAGAUCCCCAAUUCCGAGGAGCAUUGUGUUAUGGGAACCGUGUUAAACCAGAAAUGCCAUUGAAAACUUCAAAGAAAGGUGGACAAAUUUUAAUGGUUAACAACAUAACUACUGAUGAUUGGUUCCUUGUUGUCACAGGAGUUUCAGGACAAAAUAACAAUUGGUUACGAUUGUUAUUUUGUUAUUAUAACAAGCAGCAAAUGUAACGAGAAAAGAUUGUGUGGUUUGCAUGGGUCCCAGGCCUUUGUUGCGCAUAGUUCCAGCACAAUUAUCACAAGAUUGUAUUAUUCCAUUAAUGAACGCUACUGUACCAACUGAGAAGUGUAAAUCAUGGUCCUAUAUAUCCCGUAACAAAAGCAGAUAAACACAAACCAAUGUUUUCUACUUUAGUAGCACCGAAUAAUUUUACUUGUAUAAACAUGAUUAGUAAAGGCAAAAAAUUAGGACCACUGAACGACACACAGUGUAAAGUAACCUUAAAAAUCAGACCAAAGUUUAUGCCAGUAUCACGGAGCGACAUCUGGUGGUGGUGCGGAGAUGAUAGACUGUUUGAUAGAUUACCUAAAGAUAUAUCUGGAUUGUGCGCUAUUAUCACUUUGAUAUUGCAUGUGUCAGUAUACCCUAUGCUUGUUCAAGAUUUAAUGGAAAGGGCACCAAUGUUUUUGUCCAAUAUAGAACAUAGACAAAAAAGAGAUUUAUCCUGGCAGAGGCAAAAUUAUCCAACAUAAAACAUACAUCGACGCCAUAGGUGUUCCUCGUGGGGUUCCUAAUCAAUACAAAUUAGCUGACCAAGAUGCAGGAGGAUUUAAAUACUUCAUAUGCUGGUUGUGUACGAUUAAUAAAAAUGUUGAUGGGAUAAACUAUAUCCACUUCAAUGUACAGAGAUUAGGAAAUUGGACUCAGAGUGGGUUGGAAGCUGUGCACGAGCAGCUCAAGGACGUUCCAAAACCGCAUAGCUGUCGACAUGCUCCUCGCAAGAGAGGGAGGUGUUUGCGGUAUGUUUGGAGAACAAACAAUACUGCUUCAGAUGGCAGCUUGACCAGAGCCAUCGAUGGUCUACGGACCCUCAAUCAACACUCCUUGAGGGACAGCUGGAUGGACGUUUUUGGUAAAUACAAAACCCUAAUUUCACCAAUAUUGAUAUCAAUUGCUGUUUUUGCAGCCAUUCUGACAUGGUGUGGAUGUUGUUGUAUCCCAUGCAUUCGGGCUUUAAUCAGUAGAUUAAUCACCACAGCAAUUACCCACAUGGAACCGUAUGGAGCAGAUGUAUCCUUUAUUGGAUGUUGAUAAUGAUGACGACGAUGAUGAUGUUGUUUUACCUGAUUUGUUUCCUGAUCCAGGUGAUUACGAUGUUUAAACUACAACAUUCAUGUAUGACAAGUUUACUCUGAGUGGAAAUGUAUUUGUUUCAUUAAAAUGAUUCUACAGUUAAAAAAUCGAAAUGAAGUGACUGUAAAAUGAUAUGAGAAUUUGUGCAAAUACAUGAUAAACAGGAGGGAAAUGUUAAAUAUAUUGUAGAAGUUAUCAUUUAUUUGCUUAGCUUGCAUUAGUAUUAUAGAUGAUUUUGAGAAAGGAAGAUGUCUCGCCUUCAAGAAGAUGACUCAGCAGGAAUCAUCCGAUGGAAGGGCGCCUUGACCAAGGACGUGGCCGGGGACGUGGCAGGUGUUGGUGCCAUGUCUUCACCUUGAAACCCUACCCUUAGUGUGUUGUGUCUUGUAGCUUAGUACGUUUUGUCUUGUAAAACCUCCCUAUUUCAAAUAAAUGCAGGAGCGAUGGGAGAGAUUGUUUUGAGCGUGAUGAGAGGCUGUAAACUGAACAAUCUCCCAUAAACCCUCCUCAUGAGAAAAAGAAA